RNAcentral lists this long non-coding RNA (566 nucleotides) under Heterocephalus glaber (naked mole-rat). RNAcentral's name for it is "lncRNA (ENSHGLG00000036137.1)". Lineage: Eukaryota; Metazoa; Chordata; Mammalia; Rodentia; Bathyergidae. The record is from RNAcentral.
GGGGUGACAGCCAGGCCCAGGUGCUGGGCAGGUACAGAGGGCAGGGCUGUUGCUGAACUCGAGCGAUCUGAAGUGCCAGACACAGGGCCAGGGGUCCAAAACACAAAACAAACGCAAAGGCACCCCCAGAGGAAAAGCCCAGAGUCUAAAUUUUAAACAGGAAGAAGCAGGCGCUGGCCCCGAGGAAGAUAACAGGCCCAGGAGGGAACACAGCAACAGCGGAGCAGCAGAGCAGGCCUGGGGAGGGCAGGGCGUCCAUGCUGAGCCGCCUGCCUGGCUCCAGGUGCCAGGCCUGGGCUCUGCCCACCACACAGAGGGCCCCAGCCGGCCAGUGUUGAAGAUGGAACUAAGGGCCUCUUGCCUGUUGGGGAGCACCUCCAGCCAUGCACCUUCGGACCAAAACCUUGACAAUGACCAGAGAUUGCUUUCACAGUGAGAAAAUACUUUCAAAAUUAUAAACUUAGUACCAAUCACGCCUUGAGAAGAAGCAAGAUAUAUCAUGUACAGGUGUAAAUCCCCUAUAAUGAAUGUUAUCAUUAUGUAUAUCUAAAAUGUAUCAAUAAAUG